Molecule: non-coding RNA, 546 nt
Filed under: Pongo abelii (Sumatran orangutan)
Lineage: Eukaryota; Metazoa; Chordata; Mammalia; Primates; Hominidae
Source: RNAcentral
AGACGCAACCGCGUGGAUCGCCUUCUCCACCCGACAUACUGAAGCCAAAAUAAGCCACGACUUCGUGUGCCCCACGAAGGAGUUUCUCCCGCAUCUGCCAUCAGAGGACCGUCGCCCUAAGGAGCCCGAGCUCCCGCGGUACUCUGGGAAGACUUCAGAGCAGUAGUGCAUAGUGUAUUGAUACUACCCGCCCCUGAGCCUAGCAAAUUGCCUGGUGAGCGACCAUCCUGGAUAAAUGGUGAAUGAUGACAUCCCAGCGGUCACUUCCACACACCACAGGCUUCUCCGAAAUUGGAGUUCCAGAAGCCAUCCUUGGAUAACAUCUCUCUAAUCUCCUGGGAGAAUCCUUCUUCAAAGAAAUCCUCCAUCAGAGGAGAGUUCUUGGUCUCAGUCACAUCUGAAAGAGCAAGUGCAAAUGUCUCCUGUUCACUAAGGACUGAGUCUUGCCCUGUUGUCCAGGCUGAAGUACUGCAUGAUCUCAGCUCAAUACAACCUCUGCCUCCUGGGUUCAAGUGAUUUUCCUGCUUCAGCCUCCCAAGUAGCUGG